UUUUCCCUUCCCCCUCCAACUCUCUCGUCUUCCAAGCAAAACUCUCACCUAUUUUUUUCAUUUCUCUUCCUAAUUUCUUUUCCCCGUCCCCUUUCUUUGUUUCUUUUUCCAUUCAUCCUCCCCUUCGAUAAUCUAUUCUUUCAUUUGCUCGUCUCCACCCACUAUCUCCGUCCAAACAUCCCUCAACCACCGGUGAUCGGAAGAAAGCUUGAGCUUUGUCAUUGUUCUAUCAUCGAAUUCAUCUCUAUCAAAAUAGCAGCAAAAAAAGGCAAAUUUGCAAUGACAUUGGGAACCUUCACUUUCAAAUCAUGAAUUUUUGUUAUUUUUUUUCUGAAAAUCUAUUU
Molecule: long non-coding RNA, 344 nt
Filed under: Nicotiana benthamiana
Lineage: Eukaryota; Viridiplantae; Streptophyta; Magnoliopsida; Solanales; Solanaceae
Description: long non-coding RNA (NBEN_LNC027360)
Source: RNAcentral